UAGGAUUAGGGUCUGGGUCAGAGUCAGGGCCGGAAGUGUGGUUAGAGGUGGGAUCAUGGUCAGGGUCAAGAUCAGAGUCAGGGUCAAAAUCAGGGUCAGAAUUAGGGACCAGGGUAGGGAUCAGGGUUUAGGGUCAGGGUCAAAGUCUAGAGACAGGAUUGGGGUUAGGAUUAGAACCAGAGAUUUGUUCUCCUCAGGACCCACCCGAGGAGAGGCCAUGGCUUUGAAGCACCUGGUAGUGUGUCCACAGUGAAGACCAGAGUUUCAUUGUCCUCAAGACUGACCUGGGGAGACGUGGCUGUGGGCCAAUGAGGAAGUGUUAAAGUAGUAGAAGUGGUAUUGAAAAAUUGAAAAGUGGACAUAUUAAAACUUGCAACAUUAUGUAAGUCUAAAUAUAUUAUUUGUACCUCAUCAACAUUUUUUUGUUGAGAAAGUCUAAGGUUAAUUGGCAGCAUGUUUUAAUAGUAGAUAGAAUAAUGUCUGUUUUAUAAACAUUGACAUCCUACAUUACAUGUGUGAACGCCAAAAAUCUGAGACAGCUCUCGUAUUUUUUAGAAAGUUUAUUUUGCCAAGUUUGAGGAUGCGCCUGUGAUGCCUCUGCAGGAGGUCCCAACAACACAGGCCCAAGGUGGUUGGGGUCCAGCUUGGUUUUACACACUUUAGGGAGAGAUGAGACAUCAAUCAAUAUGUGAAAGAUGUACCUUGGUUCAGUCCAGAAAGGUGAGACAACUUGAAGAGAAGGCCAGACAGGGAGCUUCCAGGUCAUAGGUAGGUAGGAGACAAAUUGUUUCAUUCUUUUGAGUUGCUGGUUACCCUCUCCCGAUGAGGCACUCAGAUACGCAUUUCUCUCGGUGAGCAGACGGGUGACUUUGAACAGAAUGGGAGGCAGGUUUGCCCUCAGCAGCCCCAGCUUGACUUUUCAUUUUAGCUUAGUGAUUUUGGGUCCCCAAGGUUGAUUUUCAUUUCACAAUGUCUAAUAUGUUUUCCUAUGAGCAUUGAGUAUUCUUUGUGUAUUUUAUUACACAAGGCAUGGAUUUUU
Non-coding RNA from Chlorocebus sabaeus (green monkey), 1039 nucleotides. The record is from RefSeq and is a predicted model, not a curated record. Lineage: Eukaryota; Metazoa; Chordata; Mammalia; Primates; Cercopithecidae.